CCUACGGGUGGCUGCAGUGGGGAAUAUUGGACAAUGGGGGCAACCCUGAUCCAGCGACGCCGCGUGAGUGAAGAAGUAUUUCGGUACGUAAAGCUCUAUCAGCAGGAAAGAAAAUGACGGUACCUGACUAAGAAGCCCCUGCUAACUACGUGACAGCAGCCGCGGUAAUACGUAGGGGGCAAGCGUUAUCCGGAUUUACUGGGUGUAAAGGGAGCGUAGACGGCAGGGCAAGUCUGGAGUGAAAUGCCGGGGCUCAACCCGGGAACUGGUCUGGAAACUGUGAAGCUGGAGUGCAGGAGAGGGAAGUGGAAUUCCUGGUGUAGCGGUGAAAUGCGUAGAUAUCAGGAGGAACACCGGCGGCGAAGGCGGCUUACUGGACUGUAACUGAAGUUGAGGUGCGAAGGCGUGGGGAGCAAACAGGAUUAGAUACCCCAGUAGUC
Molecule: ribosomal RNA, 440 nt
Filed under: uncultured bacterium
Lineage: Bacteria
Description: partial 16S ribosomal RNA
Rfam family: Bacterial small subunit ribosomal RNA
Source: RNAcentral